This 1239-nucleotide long non-coding RNA is filed under the name Oryctolagus cuniculus (rabbit). RNAcentral describes it as "lncRNA (ENSOCUG00000031999.1)". Lineage: Eukaryota; Metazoa; Chordata; Mammalia; Lagomorpha; Leporidae. The record is from RNAcentral.
AUGACCUUCAUCUGCCCACAGGCACAGCCGAGGACCCCACGCCCUCGAGCAGCCUUUGGGGGGGGGGGGUCUGUGCUGCAUCACUGGCGGCUCAGAGCCAGCCCCCGCCACCCGGAGCUCCCAUGCCUGGGCUGGGGAACCGGGCAGCUCCCUGCGGCUUCCUGCCCCGCCCACUCGGUCUCUUCUGUACCACAGGAGACAUCCCAGGUGGCAGGGGUCAAGCCCCAAGUGAGAGCCGUGACCUGCCAGCCACGCCUUGCCUGGACCCCGUUUAGCACUGCACUGGGCCACGUACCUGUGUGUGCACCGCAGCCUCCCCGGCCUCCUGGAGCAGUGGGCCGCGGCCUGGCCCCCGUGGGUGUGCAGGGGCUGCCACAGUCACGCCCUCCCCAAGUCCCGGGGCUGAGCUGCGGUGAACCCGGGAGCCCAGGCCGGCAGGGCGGGCUUCUGCGGCUGCUCCUGAGGCCAAGAGCUGUUCUGAGAGCCAGACCCCGCCCCGGAAGCCGGAGUGGUGGUGGUGGGGUCCGCACGGCGCUCCCCAGCCCAGAGCUACUUCCUGUCUCGCCCCCUGAAGGUGACCUCCCUGGACACAGCCCACACGCCCGUCCAUGGGUGAGGGGACACACUGCAGUCCAUCCACACUCCAGGCUGCUGCCCGGCCACAGGAGUGUGUGUGGCAAGGUCCGUGCUGCAGCGUGGCUGGACCACAAACCACGAGAACAGGAGCCAGACGCAGGCUCCGCUGGCCGGAAGUGCGGGCCAGGCAGGUCUGCAGGGACAGCAAGCAGACCCGGGCCAGGGCCGCAGGAAUGGGCUGCGGUAACGCGAGGGCGGACUCUGCCCGGCUCAGUGCCGCCCCAGGACGCUCAUGCUCCACGCAGUGCCCCUCCGCGGAAAGUAAGUGCCCCCGAUCGCCGCAGCCUGGCCGACACUCCACGGGGCUCGUGUGCCCACAGGCCGUCCACGGACCAGCGUGCGUCAAACCCUGUUGGCAACAGAAACUUCGCAAGCAGCCGGCCGUGGGCUUCCCUUGGAAAACUGGACUGGACUUCCCGGCCAUCACUUCAGCCGCGAGUGAGACACAAAGGGGCAGGACUUCUGGAAUCACAAUUUUUUAAAGAUUUUUUUAUUUCUUUGAAAGGCAAAAUUAAAGAGAGGGAGAGAGAAAAAGAGCUGGCUCUUCCACGUGCUGGUUCCCUCCCUCCACGGCGGGAACGGCCUGCGGCUGGGCCAGGCUGA